AAGAAGUUUUAUUCUUGCUUUUUCAUUUAGUUUUUGUUUGUUCUAUAUGUGAGUUUGUGCGUGUUUGGGCUUUUUGUUCUAGAUGGGCUUGAGUAGUUGGUUGGAUUGGUUAUUUUAUUUUCAUUAGUUGUUAUUGGUUUGAUCAAGUGUCUUUGUAUCUAGCAAUUCAUUUUAGUUUCGGUUAAAUUUUGUGCCAGCAGCCGCGGUUAUACCUUGGAGGCGAUUGAAUGUAUUUGGUGUGUUGGGCAGUUGUAUGUUUGUGUUGUUGAUUUUUUUUCGGUUGGUUUGUAUUGGGUGGAAUUUUUAUGUUUUUGUUUAAUGUUUGUUAUUUGUUUGGAGGCUGUGAAACUUUUAGUUUUAGACUAGGAUUAGAUACCCUAUUAUUUUUGAGUGUUAAUGUUUUGUGCCUGAGUAGUAUUAGUUAUGUUCUUGAAACUUAAAGAAUUUGGCGGUAUCUUAUUCCAUUCAGAGGAAUCUGUCUCGUUAUCGAUAGUCCGCGUUGGACCUUACUUGGAUUUUAUUGGUUUGUAUACCGCCGUUUAUUGAUUAUCUUUUGAGAGCUAAUUUUCUGGUUUCUUUAUUUUGUUUGAUUUCAGGUCAAGGUGCAGCCUUUUCUUAGUGUAAUGAUGGAUUACAGUGUUUAUUUGUUGUUUGGAUUGUUUGGUUUUAAUAUUAGCAUGAAAUUGGAUUUGGUUGUAAUGUUCUGUAGAUUGUUUGCAUGAUAAGUGGUUCUGAGAUAUGUACACAUCGCCCGUCGCUCUCAUUUAGUUGUUAAUGAGAUAAGUCGUAACAAAGUGGUUGUACCGGAAGGUGUGGCUGGAAUGAA
RNAcentral lists this non-coding RNA (826 nucleotides) under Microtermes sp. BDIT051. Lineage: Eukaryota; Metazoa; Arthropoda; Insecta; Blattodea; Termitidae. The record is from RNAcentral.